UUUUUUUUUUUUUUUUUCUUUAGCUAUCUGAAUGAGUUUCAUCUUUCCUGUUUGUGUCAACCAGAAUGAUGGGGACCUGCUCCCCAGUGAACAUCUACAGAUAAAUAAGUGCAUUCAUUCCACGUAUGGGUUUUCACAGCAUUCAUGUUUGGCUACUCUUCUCCCCUGAUUAUUGCAUAAAUGCUUCCAUUGUUAACCAGAAAGGAAAAUGCUUCUGGGAAGAAAUUGGAAAGGUGACAUCAAUUUAACAAAGCCAUUUGGGGUUAGCACAAAAUGACAGGACAGCAGGAAGCAUUUAAAAAGCUUCCCCUGACAAGAAAAGCUAAAUGACUCAGAGAGCUGCUCCCAAUCAGACAUGCUAUUGACAAGAGACCCGUUCUGAUAAUGACCUAUGAAAGACUGCAUUCUGACCGCACACGAUAAUUUGUUUUUCUAACCAGGGUGACUUAGCAGGGGUUUGGGUAAACCGCAUGGCUCCUGUGCAAAUGACAGUCACAUGGCAAAGCCCAACACCUGGCUCAUUUUAUUUAUUUAGGCUGUAAGAAGCCACUUGUCAUGUGUCUGGUGACAUUAAGCUGUUUCUUCCCACCCAACUCCAUCACUGUGACAACAUGGCCCCCUCGGACUCGUCCACCACCCUGGUCCCUCCUUACCCUCCCACCUGUUGUGAAGUGGUCUUUUAGCUUGAGAUGUGAAUGCCAUUCUGCAAGAUAAAUGUUCUUUCACCUUCAAUCUUUGCUGAGGAAUGUGGGGAUGAAGAUGGGGCAGGAAGUGGAACAGGCUGCCCAAGUCCAAAGGCUAUAACGGGAGGUCAGUGAGCAGCACCGGUGAGGCCCCUGAGGCAGGAAGGGUAGAAAGGAGGGGUGAGGCUAUCCAAGAGGACCUCUAGCUCCCCAUGUGAGGCUGGCUUUACCCAGCCUGAGAGAACAGCAAAGUGGACAGGAAAGAAACUGACACCAUCUUCUGGACUCCGGGUAUUUCUCAAGCUGCUGUGAGCAAGACCAGGCACUUUCUGGUGAGCAACAAAGUCCACACAUCUUUUCAGCUGCUGCAAGACCUGAGGGCAGUGCUCCGUGGAAGGAGUCAGGAGGGGCCUGGUUUCUCACCUCUUCUCUUUAUCCUGAAUGACUGGUGGAUCUGGCCUGCACUCCAGGCCCUAGUUGGAGGCCCAGCAGCUGAAAAACCCCCAAGGAAAAGAUCUACAAAGAUCAUUCACGGGACUCCAGCCAAGGCUUGGCAAAUCCACAAAGGCUCCUUAUAGAGUUUGGGAAGUAGGCCACCAAGGUCUAACAGAGACACCUCCCUACCCCUGGCAGCUUGUCACUGUGUGACAUCCCCCCACUUCACCCAAAAGAAGCUGACUCCUUUCCUUCAUCCCUCUUCCAACAGCUUUGCAUCUCAGAGGAAAUGGUCUGGCUCUUGCUCUCUCUCUCUCUCUCUCCUCUCUCUCUGUGCUCACUCCCUUUUCCACCCCCAGUCCUUUCAUGAUUUAUUUUGCCUGCGGCUAUUGCUUGGAUAUGGUUUGCUCCCACCAACACUCAUGUUGAAGUUUAAUUGCCAGUGCAGCAGCAUUAGAAGGUGAGGCUUAAUGGGUAAUUUUGUGGUCACAGGGACAGAUCCUUCACCAAUAGAUUAAUGCCAUCUUGUGAGAAUGAGUGAGUCCCUGCUCUCUCGGGAAUGGAUUAAUUACUGCAAGAGCAGGUUGUUGUAAAGCAAGUUUCUUCCUCAUGUGUGGUCCCUCUUUGCACACACCUGCUAGUCUUUCUGCUUCUCUGCCAUGUCUUGAUGCAGCAUAUGGUUCUCUUCAGAAACUGAGCAGAUGCCAGUGCCAUGCUCUUGGACUUUCCAGAAUCAUGAGCUAAAUAAACCUAUUUUCUUUAUAAGUCACCCACCCUACCAUACUCUGUUAUAGCAACACAAAAUAAACUUAAGACACCUGUGCUAUCCUGUUUAUAGUUAGGCCACAUCCAUGCUCCUUUCUGGACUUUUCUUGAGUCAGAGGCCAAUGUGACUUGCAUAUGUGGAAGAUGUGGUUUUACUGAUCUAAUAACUGCUUAACUGACAUGGUGGGUGUUUCUUUGCAACUACAGGAAAAAGUUCAGUCCACUUACUACCUAGACUCUGUCUCCGUAAAUGAGGCAUUAAAGAAUGACAAGAAAACCCACCAUAUCAGAAAUAGAUGUAACUACCUCUGCUUGGUUAUGCUUUCUUGGGGUGUUUGUCUUUAUGGGAAGAUGGGUUUCUCCUGAAUGUAGCAGGAGAGGGUAACAAAAAGCGGGUGAGAAGCUUUAACAUUCCGCAGCUGGGAAGAGAAGUAUCCUCAACUGCAGCCCUAGUUUUCUGAUUCGGGUGAGUGAUGGAGCCAGUCUCUGAGAAGCCACCAUGGCAUGUGACUCCCAUUCACAUUGAAUGCUACCACCAACGCAAGCUGUACCUACAGUCAUGGCAUUUUUAUAGGAGGUAAAACCACUCAUUGGUGAACUUGAAAAUAUUUCUACUAUAUCACAAUUGCUCUGUUUUAAUAUAUCUUUAAGGUAAGUGUUAAAUAUAUCUUCACUUAAGAUAGAUAAAAUAAGUGUUCAAAGCCCAAACAAGUUAAAUUCCUUGAGCUGCCCUCUCUCAAUUUCUGGUAAACCUAUGUGGCCAAUAAAAUCUCAAAUUUGGGGAAGGAAUGGAGUGAUUUAGCAACUCUGUAGUUGACUGUUUGGCUGUUCAAUAAGUAAAUAUGAUUCCUCAGUAAGUGCUAUAGCCUGAAUGUCUCUGUGCUUUCAAAACUCGUAUGUUGAAAUGCUAACCUCCAAUGUGAUGGUAUUAUGAGGUGGGGUCUUCAGGUAGCAGGAGGUAGUUAGGUCAGGAGGGUGAAGCCCUCAUGAAUGGAUUAGUACCCUUAGAAAAAAGCCUGAGAGACUCUUUGCCCCUUUCAUCCUGUGAGGAUACAUCAGGAAGAUGCCACCUGUGAACUAAAGAGUGGACUCUCACCAGACACUGAAUCUGCUGGCACUUUGAUCUUGAAAUUCCAAGCCCCAGAACUGUAAGAAAUCAAUUUCUGUUGUUUAUCAACUACCUAGUUGUUUUGUCAUCAUAGUCUGAACUGUCUAGGACAGUAAGGAAUGCAGGAUCUGAGACACUCCAGAAGUUAAAACUUUUGGUUCUGUGGAAGAAGGAUAGUGAGAAAGCAGCCAGGGCUUCCCUCCAGGGCCAUUGGCAGAGGAGGGUGCUUCAGAAAGGAAAGGAACACACACAAGAUCAAUGGCACUGUUGUACCUCCCCCAAGACCACAGAGCAAGGAGCUGACGUGCAAAUGCAUGUGGAAACUGUCAAAGGGAAACAAGACACACUAGUGUAGGAAAGUCACAUAAGAAACCUAUCCUGUUGAGGAGCCCUUGGUGAUAUGGUCAGAAAAUGCAGAGAAGAUUAAGGAACUCCUUGUCAAACACUGCUUAGGAGUUAAGGGUGAUGUGCCCAGACCAGUGGCUCGUGAACUAGCCCUAUCUAGACUUUCCCCAUGUGCUGAGUUUUCCCAGGUUGAACACUGAGAGUUGGGCCCAUGCCAAGGAACCCUGAAGAGAAGAAAUGGGAGAGAAGCUCUAAGUAAAAAGCCGUGUGAGGCUUCUCACUAAUCUGAGCCCCAUCCUUCCUCCCUCUUCCAGCCAAGCCUCCUUCUGCAGUUCUCUCUGACUCCAAGGGUUGGCUGGGCUGUUUUCUCAAAGCACACAGUCUUGCCCCAUAUUCCUGUACCCAGAAGAAGCAUGGACCAUCUAAGGUUUCCUUUGGGGUGUUGCUGUGAACAGUAAUAAAACACAGAGGAGAAAAGAUCCUUCCUCUUCACCUCCACAACCUUUUUUUGCUUUACUAGGGCCAGGUUUCCUGGGUUAAAUUGUGCAGUGAUGCAAGCAGUGCAGUAUAUGAGAAUGGAAGUAAGCUCAUAAGUGACAGGAUAAAAAUGAUAUCUAAUGAGGAGUUUACUAACUCCAAAUGCAAGUUCCAGCUUCAGGAGUCAGAGCUUGGGGGUGAGACACAGUCCAGUGAAAAGCUACAGCUGUGGCUGGAGGGUUGGGGCCUGAGAAGCAACUCUUAUCAGCAGAAUCAACUAGUUACAUGGGAGGAGAACUGCCACAUGGAUAUUUGGACAGUUUAUGCUGAGUAUGAGGGAGAGUUCUCCUCCUCUCCUCUAGAAAACCUUCAGUAAAAUCUUCAGUUCACUAAUGAUUUUUCUGCAAGUAGAUUCUCUGUGGAUAACUUCAAGUGGCGUUAAGUCUAGGGUCCAGGUUGAAAAGGAGCAGAGUGAGUAUCUGUAGGCUUCUCCAAGCCUAGGUUAAAGUUGUGGCUGCUUGACUGUAUAUAUGGCUAAAUAUGCCAUCCCUCUUUGUACCCACAGCCCUGUCUGUGUGACUUGCAGCCCUUUUCAGUAAAGAAGUCUAAUUCUCUACCCCAUG
Macaca fascicularis (crab-eating macaque) is the source of this 4436-nucleotide long non-coding RNA. Lineage: Eukaryota; Metazoa; Chordata; Mammalia; Primates; Cercopithecidae. The record is from Ensembl.